UGUACCACGUGACACCAUGUCAUUUUGCCAAGGAACUGCUCCCUCAGGCGUCUGAAAGAACUGCGUGAGGUUAUCCCUCACACCCUGUGCAGCUCUGGUGGCACGGCUCUUUGACAGCUGUGGCGUAAGUGACAGAUUGGCGUCGCCAGCCACCACUCUGCGCCACUCGCCAGGCUGUACCGCUCCCCCCGAAUCUGUAUCUGUGAACCUGGGCGGUAUGUAGCGGCUAGCAGGUGUGGUCGCCUCAUCAGUGUAGGCCAGGUAGUUGUGUAGGACUACACAGGCCUUGACAACAUCCACUGCCUUGUCGGGCAGGAACUCUAUUGAUCUGCCCAGGAUCCUCCAGCGUGCCACCAUAAUUCCAAAAGUAUUCUCAAUUACCCUCCUGGCUCUGGAGAGGCGGUAAUUGAAAAUAGUCUUCUCUUUACUCAGAUUUGCCCCUGAUUAUACAAAAAAAAAAAAAGCAAGUCCUCUUCCAUCUCUAACAGCUACAGCUCCAUCAAAAUUCUUGUUCUCUCCAUCAUUAAUCUUCAGUGUGUGUGAGGAAAAGGCGGGGCGGGAGGGGUGUAAAUAAACAAUCGUCGACUUCCACACACAAAGACGUCAUGGGGCAGGCUUCUCUAAGGUUAAAAAAUGUUGCUCCACCUACUGGUCUGGCGGUGAAUUGUUUUCAGCACCCACAGACCUCGGAGUACUAUAAAUACAAAAUAGUUAAUCGAUGUCGUACGAAAACGGUCGUUUGUCUGUCCAUAUCGGAGUCGUAGUACCAUAAAUUUCGCUUAAGUCGGGUAUUGUCGGAAGAGUUCAACAUGUUCAGUCGGAUCGGGUAAAGUUGGAGAAUGUCUGACCAAUGUAGAGCCAUUUCCAACGAACUCCAACAUUUUGACAGCUCGUUACCUGGACAACUUGACUCAACUCGCGUGCAUAACAUCCUCGAGCUCUCUUUGAUUUCGAUAAAGUGUACUUGUCUACUUGUGCACUGCUCAUAAUUUUGAACUGAAAAUGGCUGGUUUCUGGACCCAAGAACGGGAGGAUAUAUUCCUGGAGCUGUGGGAAGAAAAGACCCAGCUGUAUGAUGUAAGGAGUCAGGCGUACUCGAACCGGGAUAGUAAAAAUGCAGCGAUCAAGUACAUCGCCGAAAAACUGGAGACGACUGAAAAAGCAGUUAAGGCCAAAAUGGAGACGAUGAGGACCCAAUACAGCUGAAACUUAAAGGCAAAGCCAUCGGGCAGUGAUGGAUUCAUCACGCCACGCCAGUCCUGGAUGCUGCAGAAGCUGAAGUUCCUAGAGAUCCAUAUGAGAAAAAGGCCAUCAAAAUCAAACUUGUCUCUUGAUGAUAUAUCAACUGAAGUGGACGAGGGGCUUUUGGAUGGGAUUGAGGGCGAAGACAGCUCUGCAAACGCUAUCACCAUUAGCUCUGAGGACCCUGAUGUGACACCAGUUGAUGGGGGAGAGGAGGAAACAGCUGGUUCAUCAUAUUCCCCCCCCCCCC
Clupea harengus (Atlantic herring) is the source of this 1492-nucleotide long non-coding RNA. RefSeq lists it as uncharacterized. The transcript has 3 exons. NCBI's taxonomy places the organism in Eukaryota, Metazoa, Chordata, Actinopteri, Clupeiformes, Clupeidae. The record is from RefSeq and is a predicted model, not a curated record.